Molecule: long non-coding RNA, 98 nt
Organism: Thalassophryne amazonica
Lineage: Eukaryota; Metazoa; Chordata; Actinopteri; Batrachoidiformes; Batrachoididae
Exons: 4
Source: RefSeq, a predicted model, not a curated record
CCUGUGGUACUGUAACAAUCAGAAGACGCCUAUGUGAAGACAAACUAUGGACAAGAGACCCCACAAAGUCCCUGUUGAAAAAAAAGAGGUUACAAUUU